Molecule: ribosomal RNA, 412 nt
Filed under: Verrucomicrobiota bacterium
Lineage: Bacteria; Pseudomonadati; Verrucomicrobiota
Description: Verrucomicrobia bacterium partial 16S ribosomal RNA
Rfam family: Bacterial small subunit ribosomal RNA
Source: RNAcentral
UGGGGAAUAUUGCGCAAUGGGGGAAACCCUGACGCAGCGACGCCGCGUGCGGGAUGAAGGCCUUCGGGGUGUAAACCGCUUUUGAUUGGGAGCAAGCCUUUUGGGGGAGUGUACCUUUCGAAUAAGCGCCGGCCAACUACGUGCCAGCAGCCGCGGAAAUACGUAGGGCGCAAGCGUUAUCCGGAAUUAUUGGGCGUAAAGAGCUUGUAGGCGGUUCGUCGCGUCUGGUGUGAAAGCCCAUCGCUUAACGGUGGGUUUGCGCCGGGUACUGGCGGGCUAGAGUGCAGUAGGGGAGACUGGAAUUCCCGGUGUAACGGUGGAAUGUGUAGAUAUCGGGAAGAACACCAAUGGCGAAGGCAGGUCUCUGGGCUGUUACUGACGCUGAGAAGCGAAAGCGUGGGGAGCGAACAGG